GCAGGCCUAAUACAUGCAAGUCGAGCGCGCCCUUCGGGGUGAGCGGCGGACGGGUGAGUAACGCGUGGGAAUAUGCCCUUCUCUAAGGAAUAGCCUCUGGAAACGGAGAGUAAUACCUUAUACGCCCUUUGGGGGAAAGAUUUAUCGGAGAAGGAUUAGCCCGCGUUAGAUUAGGUAGUUGGUGGGGAAAAGGCCAACCAAGCCUACGAUCUAGAGAUGGUUUGAGAGGAUGAGC
This 235-nucleotide ribosomal RNA is filed under the name uncultured bacterium. Its description in RNAcentral is "partial 16S ribosomal RNA". It matches the Rfam family "Bacterial small subunit ribosomal RNA", at positions 42 to 305 of the family's 1533-position model. The record is from RNAcentral.